This 350-nucleotide ribosomal RNA is filed under the name uncultured bacterium. RNAcentral describes it as "bacterial SSU rRNA". It matches the Rfam family "Bacterial small subunit ribosomal RNA", at positions 34 to 376 of the family's 1533-position model. The record is from RNAcentral.
CGCUGGCGGCGUGCUUCACACAUGCAAGUCGAACGGGGUCCAUCCAGUGGCAACACUGGUGAAGAUCUAGUGGCGAACGGGUGCGUAACACGUGAGGAACCUACCCCGAUCUCAGGAAUAACAGUGGGAAACCACUGCUAAUACCGGAUGCCUUCCCCGAGUCGCAUGGCUCGGCGAAGAAAGGGCUACCGGAUCGGGACGGCCUCGCGGCCUAUCAGCUUGUUGGCGGGGUAAUGGCCCACCAAGGCGUCGACGGGUAGCUGGUCUGAGAGGAUGAUCAGCCACACUGGGACUGAGACACGGCCCAGACUCCUACGGGAGGCAGCAGUGGGGAAUCUUGCGCAAUGGGC